Molecule: long non-coding RNA, 1138 nt
Filed under: Equus caballus (horse)
Lineage: Eukaryota; Metazoa; Chordata; Mammalia; Perissodactyla; Equidae
Description: lncRNA (ENSECAG00000046018.1)
Source: RNAcentral
GGCGCGCGGCGAUGUGAGCCAUGAGCGCGACGUGGACACUGUCCCCCGAGCCGCUGCCGCCGUCGACGGGGCCCCCGGUGGGCGCGGGCCUGGACGCGGAGCAGCGCACCGUGUUCGCCUUCGUGCUGUGCCUGCUCGUGGUGCUGGUGCUGCUGAUGGUGCGCUGCGUGCGCAUCCUGCUCGACCCCUACAGCCGCAUGCCCGCCUCGUCCUGGACCGACCACAAGGAGGCGCUCGAGCGCGGGCAGUUCGACUACGCGCUGGUCUGAGCCGGGGCGACCCGGGCCUGCCCUCCGCAGGGUCUCCCCCGGCUGCCCGACCGGGGCGCUCGGGAUCCCGCCUCGGAGCCCGGCCCGAGGGGGCGGGGGCGUUAGGAGAAGUCCAGCCCCUCCCCGCUCAGACCCUCCCAUCUUCCCUCCUGGCCAGGCCGGAGCCCCACUUCGUGCCUUUGUCCCGCCCUGUUGUCGCUCCGUAACCCACCGGCCCCGGGUGGGAAGAGGACCCGCCCCGCCCCGCCUCAGCGUGUAGGUGGCUCUGCUAUUGUCCUGCCGCCGAGCAUGAGUGUCAUGGCCGUUCCUGGAUGUGGGGACCCUCCUGUACCCCCUCCCCGCCCUGUCGUCUGGCCAUCCUCACUCCCCCGCCCCCCGUAAGCGUGGAGCCCCUCCCCGGGCUCCGGCCCUGCGGGGCAGGCUCUCCUGGGCCCACGGGUGGACGCUGCAUACCAAUGUGCGCUGCGCAGCCUGCCCCGGAGACCGAGCCUGAAGAGCGACAGCGGCUGCUGUGUCCAGGAUGCGUCAGCGCCCCCUCCCUCUGUCACCGCUUCCGCCCCUCCUUGGCCCUCCUGCCACUUCGCCCUGAUCCCUCUUGCCAUCCCCUCACGGGCCUCCCCAUGCCUUCUCAUUCCCCGCCUCUGAGUGAUGGUGACAAUAAAAGCUAUUGUUGAGCGCUUACUACCUGCCAAGCAGCGUGCUAAGUUAGCGCCUCGCCUCGGGCGCAUGGCCUGUGCCCUCUUCAGGGCUCAGACGGCGAGCCCGUUAGCAUCCCCGUUCCACAGGCUAGGAGACUGAGGCCCAGGCAGCUUGAGUGACUUGCCCAUGCCAAGUGCCUGGAUUCUGGCCGGGCUGGCAUUUGAACCUGG